Molecule: long non-coding RNA, 565 nt
Filed under: Ananas comosus (pineapple)
Lineage: Eukaryota; Viridiplantae; Streptophyta; Magnoliopsida; Poales; Bromeliaceae
Description: long non-coding RNA (ACOM_LNC040353)
Source: RNAcentral
GUCGUUGGAUUAGCUUUUCGAGGUGGAUUGAUGUUACCGGAAAUUUCGGAUUUCCUCCUAAACCGUAGUUUACAGUAUGUACUAUUGGGUUUUGUAUAUCAUGUUCUAUAGCUCGAAUUCGUGAAUUUGCAUGUUCUUUAAAUCUGAAUUUGGAGUUUAGUUAUUGGUUUAGAUAAAUUAUACAUGUUGGACUUAGAUUUGAUUUAGGAGAAAACAUUUAGAUUAUAUACUGUCAUUUUCUAAAAACUACCAGAUUUAGCUUUAGGAGUUGUAGUUUGUUUGUAUUGCCGCAGUUUGUAUGCGGUGAAUAUCCAGAAUAAUGUAGAAUAAAUUUAUGCUCGUGCUGGGAUGUCGAAUGUAUUUUUACAGUAGUGUAUAGACUGUUCCGGACUGUCGGGUGCCGUUGCGGUUGACGGUGGACCCGGAUUGCUGUUUUUGUAUCAAAUUGUGCCGAGGGCAUGUUUAUUAUGGUUGUUAGACUAGUUAGACCAUUCUGUUUUGAUUACAGCCUGUGAGAGCCUGAUUGAGCUCGGCAGAGAUACGCUUGCAAUUUCGGUUGGGUAGC